UUCCCGCUAGUUUAACGGAAAAACAAAAGAUUCUGGUUCUUUAGAUCUACGUUCGAUUCGUAGGCGGGAAGCCA
This 74-nucleotide transfer RNA is filed under the name Bacteriophage sp. RNAcentral describes it as "tRNA-Gln". It matches the Rfam family "tRNA". Rfam says of the family: Transfer RNA (tRNA) molecules are approximately 80 nucleotides in length. Their secondary structure includes four short double-helical elements and three loops (D, anti-codon, and T loops). The record is from RNAcentral. RNAcentral also lists the same sequence under 1 other name.